GGGAGACUGUCCCGCCCCCCUUCCCUGAGUCCCCGCCCCCAUCCCGUCCUGUCCUCCUGGCCAGCUAGAGAAGACGCCCUUGUGGUGCUGGAGCCCAAGGCCCCCACCCAGCCUUUCCCACAGCAGCACCUCCCCCGCUUGCACAGCGCCCGCUUUGUUCAUCUGUACAGCUGGGCUUUCCACCACCACCACCACCACCAGGGCCACCACCAUGCAUACUCUCCUCCCGCCCUCUCCUUCCGACCCUCCUAGACCACCCUCCCUCCACUCUAGGCCUCGAAGCUCUUUAUUUACCCUGCCCUACCCAAGAUGCUUGACUCCCAAUGAGCCCUAGCACAGUCCUACCACAGAUGCUCAAGUUUCUUUUCAGAACAUCUACUGAGGGCACCCAGCUCAGCCCCUACCCUUUGCUAGUCCAAGCCCCACCAUAGAGAGCUGCCGGUCGAGUUAAUAAUUGCACAUCAGGCUUCAGAAAUUAACGUGAAGGCCUGUUAAAAGUGUGGUGCUGGGGUUGGGGAUUUAGCUCAGUGGUAGAGCGCUUGCCUAGGAAGCCUAAGGCCCUGGGUUCGGUCCCCAGCUCCAAAAAAAAAAAAAAAAAAAGAACCAAAAAAAAAAAAAAAAAAGUGUGGUGCAAGCCAGAUGGUGGUGGCUUUUAUCCCAGCAUUCGGGAGGCAGAGGCAGGUGGAUCUCCUCUGUGAGUUCGAGACGGGCUGGCCUCGGAAUAAGUUCAAGGACAGCCAGGGCUACACAGAGAAACCCUGUCUCGAAAAACAAAAACAAAAACAAGUGUACUGCAAACCUCAAGACCCAGGAAAGCCGAAUGGAGAUCGCUCGCCCUCUUGUUUCUGUCCAUUCACCUCCAAUACAGACUUGUUGGGUUACAGCUGGAGCUGGAGGCAGAGUAGAAAGACAGGUUGGCUGAAGAGUGAGAGUUUGAGGAAGAAGAAAAGAGGGGGGCGGUCUAUAAACCCAGCCUGGCAAAGUCACUCAGCAAUUCAACCCCCACCCCGAAAUCCAAGCUGACAGUGGAGCCGCACCUUGCAAAGCCUGCUUUUGCCCCAGGAGACCGCUGGGAGGCCUCACGGGAGCUGAACUCGACUAGACUGGGCCUCUUUAACCUGCACUAAAGGAUUGGCAGACGCUCUUCCUCAGUGAAGGAAAGGGCCGGAAGCCCCCAAGUCCGGCCUAAAUUCCAGAUGGGAUGGGUUAGGAAAAAAUUUAAAAUGAAAGUCCUCUUUGGAAUGGACAAGCUCUGUUCUGUUCCAAUGGCUUUUGUUCUGUGACCUCCUCAGUCUUUCCCAGGAGUGGCAGGAGUCUGCACUGCAGGAAUUUGGUCACUCAUUGACAGAACUAGCAUUAGUAGGGGGCACCCACUGCUGGCAAUUAAACCGGAGACAGCCGAGCAGUGGACAAGAGGGAGGAGGAAAAAGGGUCCCACCUGCCACCUACUGUAGCCAAUAGAGGUGCAACAUACUCAGUGGUCACCAGGAAACCCAAGCUUUUUGCAGUCUCUUUCCACCUCUCUAAAUAUCAUUGGAGGCUCAAGUGGCCAACCUUCCUGUGGCACUUAUCAGUCGCAACAGUGAUUUUCAUGCUGUCCUCGUAUGUUCUUGAGCAAAAAGAGAAAACAAACCAAAAUCAUCUUGUUCUGUAUGUGAAGAAGACAUAGCAUUUGGAGAAGGGGCUCAGAUUAGGGUAUCUCAAACUCUCUCAUCUUGUUCUUAACCUCCAGCUGCUGUUUAUUGACUUGGUCAGGAGAACUGUCAUACAAUAAUUAAACCUGCCAGAAGCAGAUGAUGCUGAGGCAGGGGGUUUAAAAAAGCAGCUAAUUUUUCUCAGUGUCUCGCUGUCCAGCUGACCCUAUGAUCAAGGCUCUAAGAAAUUUGUCCUAUCUCCGGCUGUGUCCAGUCUCUGUGUUCCCACAGUUAGAGCACUCAGGGGACUAAAGACCUCCUGCCCCCACUCCUCCACCCUCUUCCCACUGCACAUCUGGAGCCCAUCAGGAAGCUCAGUGCUCUCUCACAGUUAUGCAAGAGGUCGAGCAGCUGGGAGCUCUGCGCAGAGCUGAAAAGGGGGAGGAAGAGAAGACAGCAGAGAACAACUUUCCAAGCAUGCUUCAAACUUUCCGAAAUGGAAGCAAGGGGAGAGGGCAGAGGCUGGGUGUGGAAGGAAGGCAUCAUGUCUGCCUGGAUGCUGCUGUGCUUUCUGCCAUCGUGAUAAUGGACUGAACCUCUGAAUAGAGGUCCUGAGUUCAAAUCCCAGCAACCACAUGGUGGCUCACAACCGUCUGUAAUGGAAUCUGAUGCCCUCUCCUGGUGUGUCUGAAGACAGCUACAGAAUACUCACAUACAUAAAAUGGACAAAUAAAUCUUAAAAAAAAAAAAAAAAACUUAAAAAAAAAAAAAGAGUUGCUUGGUCACAGUGUCUCUUCACAGCCACGGAACCUAAGACAGGUGGUAUCUUUACUUUGGUUUGUUGUGGAGUAAGUAGACCUGUGCUGUGUCUUCCUAGGAAGUGACAUACACCUCUGUGACCCCUUUAGGUCCUAAAUACUACCAUUGGUGUAGGCAUAUAGGUGUGGUAUAGGUAUGGUGGCAUCAGUGAUGCCAGCUACCACCUUGCUCCAUCAAAUUUGAUGGAAAGAGUGCUCAAACUUUACCUUAACAGAGGUAAAGCCACUAUUUUAUCAGUUGGAAAAUGGGCACAAUCCAUAUUUGUAUGCAAACCUAAUGCAAUCAAGCGGUGUGAGAAAUUUGGCCACGACUGCAGAUGGGCUCUUCUGUGGCUCAGGACCUGACUGUGAGGAGGAGAGAACAAGCACUAAGGACUGGAGAGCGCAGCACAUGUAGAGCGCAUGCUGUUUGGUAUGCAAGGUGUUGAAUCUGAUACCCAGCACUGCAUGCACACUUAAUUGGGAAAUAAAAUCAGUUAUUUCUUUUAAAAAAACGAUUUAUUUAUUUUAUGAUACGAGUACACUGUAGCUGUCUUCAUUCACACCAGAUCCCAUUACAGAUGGUUGUGAGCUACCAUGUGGUUGCUGGGAUUUGAACCCAGGAUCUCUGGAAGAGCAGUCAGUGCUCUUAACCACUAAGUCAUUACUCCAGCUCCCCAGUUGUUUCUCUUG
Long non-coding RNA from Rattus norvegicus (Norway rat), 3124 nucleotides. RefSeq lists it as uncharacterized. Lineage: Eukaryota; Metazoa; Chordata; Mammalia; Rodentia; Muridae. The record is from RefSeq and is a predicted model, not a curated record.